RNAcentral lists this long non-coding RNA (505 nucleotides) under Fukomys damarensis (Damara mole-rat). Its description in RNAcentral is "lncRNA (ENSFDAG00000025297.1)". Lineage: Eukaryota; Metazoa; Chordata; Mammalia; Rodentia; Bathyergidae. The record is from RNAcentral.
AGCCGUCCUUGGGCCAACUCUGAGUCCUCCGCACCUCCGGGGCCCCGCGGCGCGCCCUGAGGGAGCGCAGGACUCCGUCUCGCCCUUCUGCCUUCACUGCAGGGCCUGAGGCCCGCUGGGCUCGGGGUUCCCGCCCCUCCCUCCGGGUGCCGACUUCGCGGGGCGCUGGGCGUCUCCACUUCUGCCUGCGCCCCACGACCGACUUGGCGCAGAUGUUGCUGCCCGGGUGGGCGCUGUGUUCACCUCUGCUCUCCCCGCCCAGUCCCCUCCUGCCGCUGCCGGCCCCGAGAGACAGGCGCAGAGCACCUCGUGUGAGUGACAGCUGUGCUCUGUCCACUUGACUGGACCGAGAAACACCAGGAGACUGGCACAGCACAAUUGUGCGUGUGGCUGGUGGGCCGUGGAUCUGCAACCUUGGGUUCUGUGUAUGGUUCCACACCCUCCCACCACGAUGUUCCCACCUCGGAGCCCGGUGACCAUGGACUGAAUACCCUGAAACCUUGAG